GGUGAUCCUGCUCAGU
Molecule: ribosomal RNA, 16 nt
Filed under: Acacia stenophylla
Lineage: Eukaryota; Viridiplantae; Streptophyta; Magnoliopsida; Fabales; Fabaceae
Description: partial 18S ribosomal RNA
Source: RNAcentral